UCGAGGGGUAUUGUUCUUUGGAACGAGAGACCGGCGCACGGGUGCGUAACGCGUAUGCAAUCUACCUUUUGCAGAGGGAUAGCCCAGAGAAAUUUGGAUUAAUACCUCAUAGUAUGGUACAACCGCAUGGUUGAACUAUUAAAGUCACAACGGCAAAAGAUGAGCAUGCGUCCCAUUAGCUAGUUGGUAAGGUAACGGCUUACCAAGGCGACGAUGGGUAGGGGUCCUGAGAGGGAGAUCCCCCACACUGGUACUGAGACACGGACCAGACUCCUACGGGAGGCAGCAGUGAGGAAUAUUGGUCAAUGGGCGCAAGCCUGAACCAGCCAUGCCGCGUGCAGGAUGACGGUCCUAUGGAUUGUAAACUGCUUUUGUACGGGAAGAAACAACGAUUCGUGAAUCGUCUUGACGGUACCGUAAGAAUAAGGAUCGGCUAACUCCGUGCCAGCAGCCGCGGUAAUACGGAGGAUCCAAGCGUUAUCCGGAAUCAUUGGGUUUAAAGGGUCCGUAGGCGGUUUUGUAAGUCAGUGGUGAAAGCCCGUCGCUCAACGGCGGAACGGCCAUUGAUACUGCAAGACUUGAAUUAUUAGGAAGUAACUAGAAUAUGUAGUGUAGCGGUGAAAUGCUUAGAGAUUACAUGGAAUACCAAUUGCGAAGGCAGGUUACUACUAAUGGAU
Molecule: ribosomal RNA, 677 nt
Filed under: uncultured Bacteroidota bacterium
Lineage: Bacteria; Pseudomonadati; Bacteroidota
Description: bacterial SSU rRNA
Rfam family: Bacterial small subunit ribosomal RNA
Source: RNAcentral